UGCAAGUCGAACGAACUCUGGUAUUGAUUGGUGCUUGCAUCAUGAUUUACAUUUGAGUGAGUGGCGAACUGGUGAGUAACACGUGGGAAACCUGCCCAGAAGCGGGGGAUAACACCUGGAAACAGAUGCUAAUACCGCAUAACAACUUGGACCGCAUGGUCCGAGUUUGAAAGAUGGCUUCGGCUAUCACUUUUGGAUGGUCCCGCGGCGUAUUAGCUAGAUGGUGNGGUAACGGCUCACCAUGGCAAUGAUACGUAGCCGACCUGAGAGGGUAAUCGGCCACAUUGGGACUGAGACACGGCCCAAACUCCUACGGGAGGCAGCAGUAGGGAAUCUUCCACAAUGGACGAAAGUCUGAUGGAGCAACGCCGCGUGAGUGAAGAAGGGUUUCGGCUCGUAAAACUCUGUUGUUAAAGAAGAACAUAUCUGAGAGUAACUGUUCAGGUAUUGACGGUAUUUAACCAGAAAGCCACGGCUAACUACGUGCCAGCAGCCGCGGUAAUACGUAGGUGGCAAGCGUUGUCCGGAUUUAUUGGGCGUAAAGCGAGCGCAGGCGGUUUUUUAAGUCUGAUGUGAAAGCCUUCGGCUCAACCGAAGAAGUGCAUCGGAAACUGGGAAACUUGAGUGCAGAAGAGGACAGUGGAACUCCAUGUGUAGCGGUGAAAUGCGUAGAUAUAUGGAAGAACACCAGUGGCGAAGGCGGCUGUCUGGUCUGUAACUGACGCUGAGGCUCGAAAGUAUGGGUAGCAAACAGGAUUAGAUACCCUGGUAGUCCAUACCGUAAACGAUGAAUGCUAAGUGUUGGAGGGUUUCCGCCCUUCAGUGCUGCAGCUAACGCAUUAAGCAUUCCGCCUGGGGAGUACGGCCGCAAGGCUGAAACUCAAAGGAAUUGACGGGGGCCCGCACAAGCGGUGGAGCAUGUGGUUUAAUUCGAAGCUACGCGAAGAACCUUACCAGGUCUUGACAUACUAUGCAAAUCUAAGAGAUUAGACGUUCCCUUCGGGGACAUGGAUACAGGUGGUGCAUGGUUGUCGUCAGCUCGUGUCGUGAGAUGUUGGGUUAAGUCCCGCAACGAGCGCAACCCUUAUUAUCAGUUGCCAGCAUUAAGUUGGGCACUCUGGUGAGACUGCCGGUGACAAACCGGAGGAAGGUGGGGAUGACGUCAAAUCAUCAUGCCCCUUAUGACCUGGGCUACACACGUGCUACAAUGGAUGGUACAACGAGUUGCGAACUCGCGAGAGUAAGCUAAUCUCUUAAAGCCAUUCUCAGUUCGGAUUGUAGGCUGCAACUCGCCUACAUGAAGUCGGAAUCGCUAGUAAUCGCGGAUCAGCAUGCCGCGGUGAAUACGUUCCCGGGCCUUGUACACACCGCCCGUCACACCAUGAGAGUUUGUAACACCCAAAGUCGGUGGGGUAACC
RNAcentral lists this ribosomal RNA (1418 nucleotides) under Lactiplantibacillus plantarum. Its description in RNAcentral is "bacterial SSU rRNA". It matches the Rfam family "Bacterial small subunit ribosomal RNA". The record is from RNAcentral. Lineage: Bacteria; Bacillati; Bacillota; Bacilli; Lactobacillales; Lactobacillaceae.